UACGAAGGGUGCAAGCGUUACUCGGAAUUACUGGGCGUAAAGCGUGCGUAGGUGGUUUGUUAAGUCUGAUGUGAAAGCCCUGGGCUCAACCUGGGAAUUGCAUUGGAUACUGGCAGGCUAGAGUACGGUAGAGGGGGAUGGAAUUCCGCGUGUAGCAGUGAAAUGCGUAGAGAUGCGGAGGAACACCGAUGGCGAAGGCAGCCCCCUGGGCCAACACUGACGCUCAGGCACGAAAGCGUGGGGAGCAAACAGG
Molecule: ribosomal RNA, 253 nt
Filed under: uncultured bacterium
Lineage: Bacteria
Description: partial 16S ribosomal RNA
Rfam family: Bacterial small subunit ribosomal RNA
Source: RNAcentral